UGUUCGACCAGCUGGGGGCGAUCGGCAUCGACCUCACCGACGUGUUUGCCGUCCUCGAGGAGGAAGGCGUGCGGAAGUUCGAGGCCUCCUGGAACGA
RNAcentral lists this transfer RNA (97 nucleotides) under Mycobacterium tuberculosis variant bovis. Its description in RNAcentral is "tRNA-Arg". The record is from RNAcentral. Lineage: Bacteria; Bacillati; Actinomycetota; Actinomycetes; Mycobacteriales; Mycobacteriaceae. RNAcentral also lists the same sequence under 4 other names.